This 400-nucleotide ribosomal RNA is filed under the name uncultured bacterium. Its description in RNAcentral is "bacterial SSU rRNA". It matches the Rfam family "Bacterial small subunit ribosomal RNA", at positions 359 to 776 of the family's 1533-position model. The record is from RNAcentral.
GAAUAUUGGACAAUGGGCGAAAGCCUGAUCCAGCCAUGCCGCGUGAGUGAUGAAGGCCCUAGGGUUGUAAAGCUCUUUCAACGGUGAAGAUAAUGACGGUAACCGUAGAAGAAGCCCCGGCUAACUUCGUGCCAGCAGCCGCGGUAAUACGAAGGGGGCUAGCGUUGUUCGGAAUUACUGGGCGUAAAGCGCACGUAGGCGGAUUGGUCAGUUAGGGGUGAAAUCCCAGGGCUCAACCCUGGAACUGCCUUUAAUACUGCCAAUCUAGAGUUCGAGAGAGGUGAGUGGAAUUCCGAGUGUAGAGGUGAAAUUCGUAGAUAUUCGGAGGAACACCAGUGGCGAAGGCGGCUCACUGGCUCGAUACUGACGCUGAGGUGCGAAAGCGUGGGGAGCAAACAGG